UACUACGAUGGAGGGAGAAAUAUGAAUCCGCCACAAGACGUCCUGCAGUUUUCCUUCCCUCGCUCACUCGUCUUUCUGUCUACGGAGGAUUUUCAGAAAAUCAACUUCCACGCCUAGUUCUUCAACGAGUUCCACCAUCCAUUCUUAAUAUCCUCUGUGGACCUGUUUUAUUUUUCCUUCCAAUGACAAGAGCUCAACUCAAAGAACAGGCAGAUGCCAGUCUUGAGAUAAUUUCCAUCGGAUCAUUGUACAGUGGACACAUUGGGACAAGAAGUACUGGAGCAGCUCUAGGGUUUGUAUUCGAUUUAUUUUGCCCUGCAUAUUCUGAUCUAUAUGUCUGCUGUAAUUGAUUCCAUUUAUCGCGGUGGUGAUGUUGCUAUUUCCGAUUAUAUUUUUCUAUGUUUAUUUGAUAGUUUGCCUAUCACCUCAAGUGGAAAGCAUGUGAUGCUUGUAACAUAGUUUGUUCCCUUUGGAAUUCUGUUCUGUAUUUUUCGACUUGGUUGCUUUGAAAAGAUUUCUUUUCUGAUAAUUGGUUGUUUUGAAGCGAUUGCAAGCUUAUCUAGGUAGGUUUUGCGAUCUAGAAUUGGUAAAAAUUAGUUGAUCCCAAUUUGCAAGUAAAAUCAGAUUGUCUACUUCAUGAAGCUUAUCUGAUAAAUUAAUUUUGAGUAGUGCGAAUUUGUUGUAAAUUGGAUUUGGUAUUAAUGCACAGUAAAUUCCAUUUAGUGUCACCGCAAUCUUCAGGAGAGUCAAAUAUCCAGAGUUCCAAUAUCCAGGGAAACUUUGGACCAAUUGACGAAUUUGUCAAUUCGAACUGCUUGCUGAACUAAUUACCAUUUUUGUUAUUUUUCGAGUGGUUGUUGUAGUUGCAAAUUUAAUAUACCUGAAGAGGUGUUUUAGAUCAAGAACAGUAAAUGUCAAAGAGAGCUAGGAAUAUAGAUUUUGGAGUUUCAUGUGGUACUUUAAAUGUGUUUUAUGAAUUAUUUACUGAUGGAUAAUUAUGGAGUGACUUAUUUGUUAUCUAGGUGUGUCUAUUUCAACUCUGCAUUGUAGUAGAGAUAAAUCUGAUAUUGAUGAUUCCCAUUAUCUUUCUUUAUAAGAGAUUCUGCCAUUAGAGCUUCAAGAAGUUAAGAAAAGAUGCAUUUACAGGAUUCUAGAUAAGAAAUCUCAACCGAGGACCUACCGUAAUCAUUGCAUUAUUGUGUAGGGUAAAGAUCGAUUUCCCUAUCCAGAUGGGCAAUCUGGCUGGUCUCCAAAGGGGCUUUUAUUUAUGAUUUUGUCUAUGGAUGGACGUUCAUUUUCAGAGGAGAGGCUGCCUCCUCACUACAAUUUGGCACGGGAAACGCCUUCGUGCAAGGUUGAUGGAGUGGAGCUAUUGUGAGUCUGCUCCUGGUAGCAUGGAAAAGAAAAGUCUCAAUCAGUCUGAUAUCGUCAUAUCUGAAGAGUCGGUGAACUCCCUCCAGAAGAAAAUUUGCUCAUUGAACACGGACUCAGGCUCCAAAAGAAAUGAUUUUGAUUCAUUAGGACAAUACAUUGUGAAGUCAAUGAUGAUUUUUUGAUUCCACAAGCAAUUCCUCUGCUUAAGGAGAAUUCUAACCGGAAAAAGACAGCCAUUUCUAAUUUGAUGGAAAUACAAAAGACGUAUCGAAGAAAGAAGAUAGAGCAAAGCAGGAAUACAUGCACAUACUACAUGUGAAUUAAGAAUCUGCUGUCUCGAGUCUAGAGCUUUCCAAACACGGUCUUGACAAUUUAGAGGGUAAGCAACAUUAUGACCAUGCAUAAAUUAAUGGCAACUUCUCUUCUGUUGCAGACAAUGGUCAAGCCACUGGAAGCAAAAAGUCCCGUGACAGUGAAAUUGGUGGAAUGUGCAUGGAACAAGUCAGGAGGGUCAUUUGUACGUUUCAGAAUGUCCUCUCGGCUGUACCUCUUCUGGUAGAGUACUUUCUGAUGAAACUAUGCGUAAUAAUAAAAGGAUGGAUAAAUGCCCAUUAAAUCUUCAAAUAAAUUCCUUGAAAGUGGACAAGUAAACUCCUACGGAUUAUAUAGAAAGCAAUGCGAGAGCAACCUUGUUCGAGUGGAUCCUUUUCUCAACUCCCGCAUGCUCAGAAUGCAAAUGAUUCAAGUGUAAGAAGGACCUCCGCAUAUCCAGAGGCAUUAAAUAAGGAAGUCAUUGUAAGAAAAGAGGCUGCGGGAAUGGACACUGUGCCAUCUUCUCAAGUUCCAAGCAUUGUGUACAGUAGGAUAAGCUCAAAAUGUGUCUCAUUUGACUAAGGAAUACAAUCGCCCAUCCUAUGAAGCUUACAAUACUAGUUGCCUUGGAAAACAUUAUGGUGCGGAAACGUCUUCCACUGAAUCCCCACAUUCUUCUUAUAUCAAUCAGAUAAAGUAUGUCAUUGCAGUCCUUCAUUAGACCUAGAUGAAGCAUCACUGAGAGCCAACAAGAAGCAUAAUUCAGGACUUCUAGACACACCUGUUUUGAAGGAAGAUUUGGAAGUUGGAAGCGAACGGAAAACUUUGCCAGCAACUGUAAUGCAAGGGACUAUGUUAAAGAGCUGUUGUGUGCAAUGAGUACAAGCUCAAAGAACACCGAGGAACAUUCCUUACUUCAGCUAAAGGACUCUGCCAUAUGGCUGUUUGCCUCAACCAUAUCAGAUUCUCGAGAUUCACAUGACUAUUUACCAAUGGAUUGUCAGAUAAAUCAUGCAGAAUUGUGGAAACUAAUGCUACUUGCUGACAGUACGGUCACAUUUGGUGCGUAGCUGGAUUUAAGAGACUGCCACUGGGGCAUCAGCUGGUCGAGGUAUCAUUCGGACUCGGGUGGGCAUUGUCUACAGGAAAUAAAUUGGGCACUCUUCUUCGUUUUACAGGUGCAAGUGUUUUUUGUAUUGCAACUGAUAGUAAAGAGACAGGUGUGGAGGCUGUCGCGGCUGAUAGCAGGCAGCUGGUAUAUCUACUUUCAUCAGAUGGGAAAAGAUAGCAAUAAUGGCCAACCAACGAAGAAAGUUACUUGUAAGUUGCAUACUAUCAGCAAAUGUUUUAGUUUUGAGUUGGUUUCCUUCGUGAUCUUGAUAUGACAAUGUAGGAGUCUUUGUGACAUGGCUGCAUCAGAGCCGACGAUAAAUGUAAAAAUAAUCAUUCAUUUACGAAAAUAAAUGUU
Cucurbita moschata (crookneck pumpkin) is the source of this 3154-nucleotide RNA transcript. RefSeq lists it as uncharacterized. Lineage: Eukaryota; Viridiplantae; Streptophyta; Magnoliopsida; Cucurbitales; Cucurbitaceae. The record is from RefSeq and is a predicted model, not a curated record. The transcript has 9 exons.